Molecule: ribozyme, 255 nt
Filed under: Paraphysomonas bandaiensis
Lineage: Eukaryota; Chrysophyceae; Chromulinales; Paraphysomonadaceae
Description: partial Bacterial RNase P class A
Rfam family: Bacterial RNase P class A
About the family: Ribonuclease P (RNase P) is a ubiquitous endoribonuclease, found in archaea, bacteria and eukarya as well as chloroplasts and mitochondria. Its best characterised activity is the generation of mature 5'-ends of tRNAs by cleaving the 5'-leader elements of precursor-tRNAs.
Source: RNAcentral
GAGAACAGACCGCCCCGUUUAUCGGGGUAAGGGUGAAACGGCGGUGUAAGAGACCACCGGGGGACUGGUAACAGGCCCCGCAUGGCAAGCCCCACCUGGAGCAAUGCCGAAUAGGAACCUCGCGCGGCAUGUCCGCAGGGUCGUCUUGGCCCGGAGGUUCGGGUUGGCAGCUAGAGGCACGCAGGCAACUGCGCGCCAAGAUGAAUGGUCAUCCAGAGCGUUUACGCUUGGACAGAAUCCGGCUUAUAGGCCCUC